Molecule: ribosomal RNA, 253 nt
Filed under: uncultured bacterium
Lineage: Bacteria
Description: partial 16S ribosomal RNA
Rfam family: Bacterial small subunit ribosomal RNA
Source: RNAcentral
UACGAAGGGGGCGAGCGUUGUUCGGAAUUACUGGGCGUAAAGGGCGCGCAGGCGGCUCUGAAAGUCAGAUGUGAAAGCCCCGGGCUUAACCUGGGAAUUGCAUUUGAUACUCUGGAGCUUGAGUACGGGAGAGGAGAGUGGAAUUCCCAGUGUAGAGGUGAAAUUCGUAGAUAUAGGGAAGAACACCGGUGGCGAAGGCGGCUCUCUGGACCGUAACUGACGCUGAGGCGCGAAAGCUAGGGGAGCAAACAGG